GAGUAGGAUUUAGGGGAUUUUAGAAUGGCUUCCGAUAAGCGGAUCGAACAGUCUUCCACCCAUCGUCUAUCGACAAUGUUUUGGAGAAUAAUCUAGAGCAUAACGGGGAACACGAGGUUUGCCAAGAGAGAGGCACACCUGGGAACCAUAGCAACAUCCAUGGACAAGCCCACAUCUGGCAAACUAAGCAGCACAACAACCAAAGAACCUGAGCGGCCAACACAAAGCAGAUCAGGACACGUCCCCCACUUUACUCCGCUCUUCCCCCUCACCAUGGCUCCCUUGUAGUAUCCUUUAGAACAGGCAUGCAAUUGUUUACCCAUUUACCACACAUUUGUUUACAUAUUUACUACAAACAUGUUCCUCUCUAAACUGAAAUAUAAAGGAAGGGAUCCUUGGCACUGAGGUACUCUUCUUUUUCCUGGACCACUGGUCAGGACCAUGCAUACUGUCUCCGCAAUAGCGAGGUUACAGUUGCAAUAUCAGCGGUAUACUGUUCUAUGGUGUCCUCGACAUCGCCCAUACUGAGUAGUGUGAAUGGCAGAGACUAUGCUUCUCAGGUAAAUGUCCCUGUGAUCCUGAUUUCAAUUACAAUAUUUUGUCUAGUCCACUGUUUUAAUGUUCUUGCUCGGCCAACCUGUGCUUUUACAGAUCCUGGGGGUAGGGCUGGCCCUGACAGUCUUGCUGCCUUAAGCAAGACUUUACAUUAUAUUAAUUUAUAUUCAUUGAUGUUUGCGUGCUCGUUCAUGAAACAUGACCUGUUGUACUUCAUUUGAUAGCUAUAUCAAUGUUCAGAGAGGGUUUGGGGUGGUCCAAAUAAUAGAAAUACAACGCAACACAAUUAAACACACUGUAGCAUCCAUAACAAACACACAGUUGAAUCAACAGAUCUAUAAAUUAGUUGAAACUAAUACAGAAUAAUAUAACCUUCAUAAAGCAAAGAUUUAUUGCAGGACUGGUGUAUUAGACUGCAUUAUUUUCAGCUAUAAAUACUUGGUCAUGUUAUUUUCAGCCAUUUCUUCCAGCUUAUUUUCAAGUGCUUGGUUUGUUUUGUCUGUUUUCACAUGUCUGCAAAAUGUAACUGAUCAGGCCUUAUUGAACACAAAGCCACACUGAAUGACUUCAGCAUACAGAGAUCCUCCACCUGAAGUCUGGCACCUAUCUUCCUGCAAUCACCCAACACUAAAUGUUUUACAUUUUACAAUUUUUAAAGGUUUUUUUUUAUUAACACACAGUAAAAAUAAACGUACACACUGUCAAAGUC
Clupea harengus (Atlantic herring) is the source of this 1264-nucleotide long non-coding RNA. RefSeq lists it as uncharacterized. The record is from RefSeq and is a predicted model, not a curated record. NCBI's taxonomy places the organism in Eukaryota, Metazoa, Chordata, Actinopteri, Clupeiformes, Clupeidae.